This 137-nucleotide ribosomal RNA is filed under the name uncultured eukaryote. RNAcentral's name for it is "partial 18S ribosomal RNA". It matches the Rfam family "Eukaryotic small subunit ribosomal RNA", at positions 1299 to 1458 of the family's 1831-position model. The record is from RNAcentral.
UGGUGGAGUGAUUUGUCUGCUUAAUUGCGAUAACGAACGAGACCUUAACCUGCUAAAUAGCCCGUAUUGCUUUGGCAGUACGCUGGCUUCUUAGAGGGACUAUCGGCCCAAGCCGAUGGAAGUUUGAGGCAAUAACA